GACGAACGCUGGCGGCGUGCUUAACACAUGCAAGUCGAGCGGUAAGGCCCUUUCGGGGGUACACGAGCGGCGAACGGGUGAGUAACACGUGGGUGACCUGCCUUUAGCUCUGGGAUAAGCCUGGGAAACUGGGUCUAAUACCGGAUAUGACCCUAUGGCGCAUGUUGUGGGGUGGAAAGCCUUGUGCGGCUAGGGAUGGGCCCGCGGCCUAUCAGCUUGUUGGUGGGGUGAUGGCCACCAAGGCGACGACGGGUAGCCGGCCUGAGAGGGCGACCGGCCACACUGGGACUGAGACACGGCCCAGACUCCUACGGGAGGCAGCAGUGGGGAAUCUUGCGCAAU
RNAcentral lists this ribosomal RNA (342 nucleotides) under uncultured bacterium. Its description in RNAcentral is "bacterial SSU rRNA". It matches the Rfam family "Bacterial small subunit ribosomal RNA", at positions 28 to 372 of the family's 1533-position model. The record is from RNAcentral.